GGGUCGCGUCCUAUCAGCUUGAUGGCGGGGUAACGGCCCACCAUGGCUUCGACGGGUAGCCGCCCUGAGAGGGCGACCGGCCACAUUGGGACUGAGAUACGGCCCAGACUCCUACGGGAGGCAGCAGUGGGGAAUAUUGCACAAUGGGCGCAAGCCUGAUGCAGCGACGCCGCGUGCGGGAUGACGGCCUUCGGGUUGUAAACCGCUUUUGACUGGGAGCAAGCCCUUCGGGGUGAGUGUACCUUUCGAAUAAGCACCGGCUAACUACGUGCCAGCAGCCGCGGUAAUACGUAGGGUGCAAGCGUUAUCCGGAAUUAUUGGGCGUAAAGGGCUCGUAGGCGGUUCGUCGCGUCCGGUGUGAAAGUCCAUCGCUUAACGGUGGAUCCGCGCCGGGUACGGGCGGG
RNAcentral lists this ribosomal RNA (404 nucleotides) under uncultured Bifidobacterium sp. Its description in RNAcentral is "bacterial SSU rRNA". It matches the Rfam family "Bacterial small subunit ribosomal RNA", at positions 228 to 640 of the family's 1533-position model. The record is from RNAcentral. Lineage: Bacteria; Bacillati; Actinomycetota; Actinomycetes; Bifidobacteriales; Bifidobacteriaceae.